RNAcentral lists this ribosomal RNA (422 nucleotides) under uncultured bacterium. RNAcentral's name for it is "bacterial SSU rRNA". It matches the Rfam family "Bacterial small subunit ribosomal RNA", at positions 355 to 774 of the family's 1533-position model. The record is from RNAcentral.
UGAGGAAUAUUGGGCAAUGCCCGCAAGGGUGACCCAGCAACGCCGCGUGGAGGAUGAAUGUCGUAAGAUUGUAAACUCCUGUUAGAGGGGAAGAAUAGUACCGAUUGGACCGGUAUAUGACUGUACCCUCAGAGAAAGCCCCGGCUAACUACGUGCCAGCAGCCGCGGUAAUACGUAGGGGGCAAGCGUUGUCCGGAUUUACUGGGUGUAAAGGGCGCGCAGGCGGGAUAAAAAGUCAGUGGUGAAAUCCUACAGCUUAACUGUAGAACUGCCUUUGAUACUUUUAUUCUUGAGUUCGGGAGAGAGAGACGGAAUUCCAGGUGUAGUGGUGAAAUACGUAGAUAUCUGGAAGAACACCAGUUGCGAAGGCGGUCUCUUGGUCCGACACUGACGCUGAGGCGCGAAAGCGUGGGGAGCAAACA